RNAcentral lists this ribosomal RNA (350 nucleotides) under Primorskiella anodonta. RNAcentral's name for it is "partial 12S ribosomal RNA". Lineage: Eukaryota; Metazoa; Arthropoda; Insecta; Coleoptera; Ptiliidae. The record is from RNAcentral.
UGUAGAUGUAAAAAAUUAAAUCAGAUUAGUAUUAGUUAUAUUCUUGAAAAUUAAAAAAUUUGGCGGUAUUUUAGUCUUUUUAGAGGAACCUGUUGUUUAAUUGAUAUUCCACGAUUUAUAUUACUUUAAUUUUUAAUUUAUAUAUCGUCGUAAUUUAAUAUUUUAACAGAAUUAAUAUUAUUAAUUUUUAAUUAAAAAUAAAAUCAGAUCAUGAUGUAGUUUAUAUUAAAGAAUUAAUGGGUUACAAUAAAAUUUAUUUAAAUGGAUAUUAUAAUGAAAUUUAUAAUUAAAAGUGGAUUUAAUAGUAAAUUUAUUUAAUUUAAUAAAUUGAUUUUAGCUCUAAAGUAUGU